AUGGUAGGAUAGAGGCCUACCAUGGUGGUAACGGGUAACGGGGUGUUAGGGCACGACACCGGAGAGGGAGCCUGAGAAACGGCUACCACAUCCAAGGAAGGCAGCAGGCGCGCAAAUUACCCAAUCCCGACACGGGGAAGUAGUGACAAUAAAUAACAAUACAGGGUUCUUUGAAUCUUGUAAUUGGAAUGAGUACAAUUUAAAUCUCUUAACGAGGAACAAUUGGAGGGCAAGUCUGGUGCCAGCAGCCGCGGUAAUUCCAGCUCCAAUAGCGUAUAUUAAAGCUGUUGCAGUUAAAAAGCUCGUAGUUGAAUUUCGGGAUCAAUACGUCGGUCGUGCUUUCGGGUACGUACUGGCGUCAUUGGUUUCUCCUUUCUGACGAACCAUGAUGUCAUUAAUUUGGUGUUAUGGGGAGUUAGGACUGUUACUUUGAAAAAAUUAGAGUGUUUAAAGCAGGCAUUAGCUUGAAUACAUUAGCAUGGAAUAAUGAAAUAGGACGUUCGAUCCUAUUUUGUUGGUUUCUAGGAUCAACGUAAUGAUUAAUAGGGAUAGUUGGGGGCAUUAGUAUUCAAUUGUCAGAGGUGAAAUUCUUGGAUUUAUUGAAGACUAACUACUGCGAAAGCAUUUGCCAAGGAUGUUUUCAUUAAUCAAGAACGAAAGUUAGGGGAUCGAAGACGAUCAGAUACCGUCGUAGUCUUAACCAUAAACUAUGCCGACUAGGGAUCGGAUGAUGUUAAUUUUUUAAUGACUCAUUCGGCGCCUUACGGGAAACCAAAGUGUUUGGG
RNAcentral lists this ribosomal RNA (785 nucleotides) under uncultured Glomus. Its description in RNAcentral is "SSU rRNA". It matches the Rfam family "Eukaryotic small subunit ribosomal RNA", at positions 325 to 1111 of the family's 1831-position model. The record is from RNAcentral. Lineage: Eukaryota; Fungi; Glomeromycota; Glomeromycetes; Glomerales; Glomeraceae.